This 432-nucleotide ribosomal RNA is filed under the name uncultured bacterium. Its description in RNAcentral is "partial 16S ribosomal RNA". It matches the Rfam family "Bacterial small subunit ribosomal RNA", at positions 29 to 506 of the family's 1533-position model. The record is from RNAcentral.
AACGAACGCUGGCGGCAUGCCUAACACAUGCAAGUCGAACGAGACCUUCGGGUCUAGUGGCGCACGGGUGCGUAACGCGUGGGAACCUGCCCUUAGGUUCGGAAUAACUCCCCGAAAGGGGUGCUAAUACCGGAUAAUGUCUUCGGACCAAAGAUUUAUCGCCUUUGGAUGGGCCCGCGUUGGAUUAGCUAGUUGGUAGGGUAAAAGCCUACCAAGGCGACGAUCCAUAGCUGGUCUGAGAGGAUGAUCAGCCACACUGGGACUGAGACACGGCCCAGACUCCUACGGGGGGCAGCAGUGGGGAAUAUUGGAAAAGGGGGGAAACCCUGAUCCAGCAAUGCCGGGGGGGGGAUGAAGGCCUUGGGGUUGAAAAGCUUUUUUCCCCGGGAUAAUAAUGACGGUACCGGGAAAAAAAGCCCCGGCUAACCCCGG